This 845-nucleotide long non-coding RNA is filed under the name Medicago truncatula (barrel medic). Its description in RNAcentral is "long non-coding RNA (MTRU_LNC002556)". The record is from RNAcentral. Lineage: Eukaryota; Viridiplantae; Streptophyta; Magnoliopsida; Fabales; Fabaceae.
UUGUUGAUUUGCAUUUGAUAUUAUUAUGUCAUGCUGUUUUUGUAUACUACUGUGUUGCUGUUGUUAUUUAACUAAGCUGCAUGAGUCGGUCUAAGUUGAUUAAGAUGAUGAAGUUCCAAAUUAUUGGAUUAUACAAGAGUUGUCGAUUUAAGAUGUUUAAGAAGUCGAGUCCAUGCAUUAGCAUUCUUUGUUGGGGGCUUGAUGCUCUGGAGUAUAAUAAUACUUAAAUAGCGAUAGGGGCUUGAUGCUCUGGAGUAUAUUAAUACUUAAAUAGCGAUAGGGGCUUGAUGCUCCGUAUUGGUACCACAUGCAUAUAAGAUGUCUAAGUUGCAUAGUCGAGUUGGAGUCGCAUUUGUCGAGUCAAGGAUGUUUAUGUUGAUAAGUUGUGAAGUUGUAAUUGUUUAUACAAACUAUGAUGGAAGUGCUAAAUGAUAUAUUACUAUCUAUAAUGAAUAUUAAGAUGAUUUGAUGUUGAUUAAAUAUAAUUGUUGAAUUAUAUGCUUAAUAUUAUUGUUUUGUGAAAUCUCACCCAUUCUGCUUGGAAAUGUUGCUCUUCCUAUGAGUAACUUGCAGGUGAUCGUUAAUAGGUUGUUGUUGUUGCUGUCGUGAGUGACUUAUUCCUCACUGAGUCUUAGGAUGCUCUGAUACGUAACGGGAUGAGAUCUUUUGUGGCUAUUUUCUAUUCCUCUAUGUAUUGUGUAUAUUUUAAUAAGGCCUGCGUGCCAAAGACUUAUUUAUGUUAAUGAAUUUAAUCCGCUGCAAAGUUUGAAUUAAUAUGUUGAUGAUUUUUGGAAAGAUAAUUAGUUAAUUACCUCAUUUAUGAUUUUUAAGAAGUGUGAUAUCCC